Paramuricea clavata is the source of this 934-nucleotide non-coding RNA. The record is from the annotation of a GenBank genome assembly. Lineage: Eukaryota; Metazoa; Cnidaria; Anthozoa; Malacalcyonacea; Plexauridae.
CAAUUCAUUUCAUCAAGAUAUUUGCUGUGUUGGUGUAAUACAUGUACUCAGGUGAAUAAGAUGCUUGUGUGAUAUGUUACAUAGUCUGAGUGGAUAUCCACACUGGGCAGGCUUGAAAAAUAUACCUGGCCACAGUGGGAUUUGAACCUACAACCUUUGGAAUACUGGCCCAAUGCUCUGCCAACUGAGCUAUACAGUCGGGGCAGUUCGAGUAUGCGAUAUUUCGGAACCGCUGAGUCUAGUUCUUCGAUAUCAGUGUAAUCUAAUAACCAUGAUAUUUGUGAAUAUGAUGCUUGUGUGAUGUUACUCUGAGUGCAUAUCCACACCGGGCAAGCUUGAAAAAUAUGCCAAGCCACAUUGGGAUUCAAACCGACCUGACCGCGUAGCUCAGUUGACAGAGCAUUGGCAUUUGGGCUAGUAUUCCAAAGGUCGUAGGUUCAAAUCCCACUGUGGCCAGGCAUAUUUUUCAAGCCUGCCCGGUGUGGAUAUACACUCAGAGUAACAUCACACAAGCAUCUCAUUUCAUCAAGUUCCUCCAGAUAUUCAUACACUUCCUGUGAAAGAGCCAAUUCCAAGUAUUUAAUCAUUUCUGGUCACUUCCUUUCUAUUUAUGAUUGGUUUGGUGCACAAACAACAAAGGUGAUUGGUGCAUUCAAACCAUUUAACAGGAAGUUUACUAUUAUACUAGGAAGUGUAUGAAUAUCUUGAGGAACUUAAUCAAAUGAAUUGGUUAGCCCGAGGUAAUGUAUUGAAUCAAUAUUUGAGGAACACUUCAAUUGGAAUGACAGUGAAGAAUUAUUAAAAAAAUAUUUUAUUCAAAAAAGGAUUUUCCAAGAUAAUUAUAUAAUUACAUUUAGUAAUAAGAAUAAAUAAUAUAUUCAAUUUCAAAUCACAACAAAAUUUAUUCUUUAUUUUUAAACACAUACAACACCAA